UACGAAGGGGGCUAGCGUUGCUCGGAAUCACUGGGCGUAAAGCGCACGUAGGCGGAUUGCUAAGUCAGGGGUGAAAUCCUGGAGCUCAACUCCAGAACUGCCUUUGAUACUGGCAACCUUGAGUCCGGGAGAGGUGAGUGGAACUGCGAGUGUAGAGGUGAAAUUCGUAGAUAUUCGCAAGAACACCAGUGGCGAAGGCGACUUACUGGACACAUAUUGACGCUGAGGUGCGAAAGCGUGGGGAGCAAACAGG
RNAcentral lists this ribosomal RNA (253 nucleotides) under uncultured bacterium. RNAcentral's name for it is "partial 16S ribosomal RNA". It matches the Rfam family "Bacterial small subunit ribosomal RNA", at positions 524 to 776 of the family's 1533-position model. The record is from RNAcentral.